This 1175-nucleotide ribosomal RNA is filed under the name uncultured bacterium. RNAcentral's name for it is "bacterial SSU rRNA". It matches the Rfam family "Bacterial small subunit ribosomal RNA", at positions 38 to 1178 of the family's 1533-position model. The record is from RNAcentral.
GGCGGCGUGCCUAAUACAUGCAAGUCGAACGCACUGACGUCGACAGAAGGUGCUUGCACUGGAAGUUGAUUGACGUGAGUGGCGGACGGGUGAGUAACACGUGGGUAACCUGCCCUUAAGCGGGGGAUAACAUUUGGAAACAGAUGCUAAUACCGCAUAAAAGUUGAGAUCACAUGGUCUUAAUUUGAAAGACGGCCUUUGGCUGUCACCUAAGGAUGGACCCGCGGCGUAUUAGCUAGUUGGUGAGAUAAUAGCCCACCAAGGCGAUGAUACGUAGCCGACCUGAGAGGGUAAUCGGCCACAUUGGGACUGAGACACGGCCCAAACUCCUACGGGAGGCAGCAGUAGGGAAUCUUCCACAAUGGACGAAAGUCUGAUGGAGCAACGCCGCGUGAGUGAAGAAGGUUUUCGGAUCGUAAAACUCUGUUGUUGGAGAAGAACAGGGACUAGAGUAACUGUUAGUCCUUUGACGGUAUCCAACCAGAAAGCCACGGCUAACUACGUGCCAGCAGCCGCGGUAAUACGUAGGUGGCAAGCGUUGUCCGGAUUUAUUGGGCGUAAAGCGAGCGCAGGCGGUUUCUUAAGUCUGAUGUGAAAGCCUUCGGCUUAACCGAAGAAGUGCAUCAGAUACUGGGAAACUUGAGUGCAGAAGAGGAAAGUGGAACUCCAUGUGUAGCGGUGAAAUGCGUAGAUAUAUGGAAGAACACCAGUGGCGAAGGCGGCUUUCUGGUCUGUAACUGACGCUGAGGCUCGAAAGUAUGGGGAGCGAACAGGAUUAGAUACCCUGGUAGUCCAUACCGUAAACGAUGAAUGCUAAGUGUUGGAGGGUUUCCGCCCUUCAGUGCUGCAGCUAACGCAUUAAGCAUUCCGCCUGGGGAGUACGACCGCAAGGUUGAAACUCAAAGGAAUUGACGGGGGCCCGCACAAGCGGUGGAGCAUGUGGUUUAAUUCGAAGCUACGCGAAGAACCUUACCAGGUCUUGACAUCUAGCGCCAAUCCUAGAGAUAGGACGUUCCCUUCGGGGACGCUAAGACAGGUGGUGCAUGGUUGUCGUCAGCUCGUGUCGUGAGAUGUUGGGUUAAGUCCCGCAACGAGCGCAACCCUUAUGAUUAGUUGCCAGCAUUUAGUUGGGCACUCAAAUCAGACUGCCGGUGACAAACCGGAGGAAGGUGGGG